GGAUGAGAGGGCAACCUGGCCGCAACAUCUGUCACCCCACUGAUUGCAGGGGUUGAUUUGGCUGAUCUGGCCGGCUGGUUGAUCUGGCUGGCUGUGGGGUGGCUGUCCUCCUCCUCCCUCACGGCUCCAUACGCACAGGCCCCCCAGCUGUACGCUCCCUCAGUGGAAGAGGAUGACACCCCAUAGAGGAGGACGGUUUCCUGGUCAAGGGUAUACAAGUAACUGCACUUCCCCACUAGAACCUCCAAAUAGGCUCUCAAAUUAGAAGUUAAGACGGCCUGGGAGCCCGUUAUGGUGGUACAGGUGUGUAAUCACAGGACUCAGAAAGCACACCUGCAAUGCCAGCAUGCUGGGACU
Molecule: small nuclear RNA, 357 nt
Filed under: Chinchilla lanigera (long-tailed chinchilla)
Lineage: Eukaryota; Metazoa; Chordata; Mammalia; Rodentia; Chinchillidae
Description: 7SK RNA (ENSCLAG00000021791.1)
Rfam family: 7SK RNA
About the family: 7SK was discovered as an abundant small nuclear RNA in the mid-70s but a possible function has only recently been suggested. Two independent studies have found that 7SK RNA binds the CDK9/cyclin T complex (known as elongation factor P-TEFb).
Source: Rfam by way of RNAcentral